AAGGGAAAUACAUCAAGAGGAUCUGCACUAUCAAGAAAUACACUGAAACCGCGCUCCAGGAAUGCUACCCCCGAUGGUAUAAGAAGCAGAUCUAGCAGUUCAAAUGGAUGGGAAAGAAGUUUUUCUCCAGCGUCAAUAAUACCAGGUCCACAUUUGAAGCUUUCUGACAACCACAUCGUAU
Hibiscus syriacus is the source of this 181-nucleotide long non-coding RNA. RefSeq lists it as uncharacterized. The transcript has 4 exons. The record is from RefSeq and is a predicted model, not a curated record. NCBI's taxonomy places the organism in Eukaryota, Viridiplantae, Streptophyta, Magnoliopsida, Malvales, Malvaceae.